CCUACGGGUGGCUGCAGUGGGGAAUAUUGGACAAUGGGCGAAAGCCUGAUCCAGCCAUGCCGCGUGUGUGAAGAAGGCCUUCGGGUUGUAAAGCACUUUCAGUGGGGAAGAAAGCCUUGGGGCUAAUACCCUCGAGGAAGGACAUCACCCACAGAAGAAGCACCGGCUAACUCCGUGCCAGCAGCCGCGGUAAUACGGAGGGUGCGAGCGUUAAUCGGAAUUACUGGGCGUAAAGCGCGCGUAGGCGGUCUGAUAAGCCGGUUGUGAAAGCCCCGGGCUCAACCUGGGAACGGCAUCCGGAACUGUCAGGCUAGAGUGCAGGAGAGGAUGGUAGAAUUCCCGGUGUAGCGGUGAAAUGCGUAGAGAUCGGGAGGAAUACCAGUGGCGAAGGCGGCCUUCUGGACUGACACUGACGCUGAGGUGCGAAAGCGUGGGUAGCAAACAGGAUUAGAUACCCUGGUAGUC
This 465-nucleotide ribosomal RNA is filed under the name Vreelandella stevensii. RNAcentral's name for it is "partial 16S ribosomal RNA". It matches the Rfam family "Bacterial small subunit ribosomal RNA", at positions 338 to 795 of the family's 1533-position model. Lineage: Bacteria; Pseudomonadati; Pseudomonadota; Gammaproteobacteria; Oceanospirillales; Halomonadaceae. The record is from RNAcentral.